UACGGGGGGGGCUAGCGUUGUUCGGAAUUACUGGGCGUAAAGGGCGCGUAGGCGGCCUACUAAGUCGGACGUGAAAUCCCUCGGCUCAACCGGGGAACUGCGUCCGAUACUGGUGGGCUCGAAUCCGGGAGAGGGAUGUGGAAUUCCAGGUGUAGCGGUGAAAUGCGUAGAUAUCUGGAGGAACACCGGUGGCGAAGGCGGCACCCUGGGACCAACCUGACGCUGAGACGCGAAAGCAUGGGGAGCGAACGGG
Molecule: ribosomal RNA, 253 nt
Filed under: uncultured bacterium
Lineage: Bacteria
Description: partial 16S ribosomal RNA
Rfam family: Bacterial small subunit ribosomal RNA
Source: RNAcentral